Molecule: long non-coding RNA, 1086 nt
Filed under: Homo sapiens (human)
Lineage: Eukaryota; Metazoa; Chordata; Mammalia; Primates; Hominidae
Description: HSALNT0335915
Source: RNAcentral
GCGGCGUCCGCACCCGCACGCACACCCGGCCACGCUCGCACUCGCGCGGCCGCGGGGCCGGCUGCUUACCUCCGGGGCCUCAUGGUCGCGUCGCUAGCCUGGGUGUGAGAGGGGGAGAGGGUGUGAGGACGUGUGUGGCGUUCAGUCCCGAAGGACGGGGCGGAGGAAGGGGCCUGGAGUCUGUCACUUCCUGAGGGAGCGCGGAGGUCGAGAGACCUAUGCCCUGGACAUCAUUCCGAACAGCACAAUUCAAGGGUGGCUGAAACAACAAAAAUGUAACGUCUUACAGAUCUGAAGGCUUCCGGGUCGAUUCUGGACUGUGAUGAGAAUCUGUGCCAAGCCUCUCUCCUGGCUUCUGGUAGACUCGGGCAUUCCUUAGCUUGUAAAUGGCUGCUGCUUGUGUCAUCACAUUGUCUUCCCUUUCUACUUAUCUGUCCCCAUGCCCCAAUUUUUCCUUUUCAGGACACCAGUCAGAUUAGGACCCACCCUAAUGAUCUCAUCUUAACUUGAUUAACUACAAGGACCCUAUUUUUAAGUACACAUUUACAGAGACUGGGGGGUAGGACUUCAACAUCUUUUUGGAGGGAUGCAGUUCAACCCAUAACAAGAAUCAUUGUUAGAAAUGAUUUUGCUUCUUCACUGAAAAAUUAAUAUCAUUCUGCAGAGAACUGACUUGCUGCACAUGGCACAGAUUUUUUGCAUUUAUCAUAGUAAAAGAAAUCAGUCACAAAAGUUUGUUUUAGACUGCUACAUACCUAUCACAAAUACAAAUUAUUUCCAACAUCAAAAGUUAAUAAAGCAAGCACUGUCACCCAAAUUAUAUUGUAUCUAUUGAGCACUCCCUUAUGUACAGAAGAGGAAAAUGAGAAAUGAACAGGAAGUUUAACAUUCAUAAAAACUGUUGGCUGGGCGCGGUGGGUCACUCCUGUAAUCCCAGCACUUUGGGAGACCGAGGUGGGUGGAUCACCUGAUAUCAGGAGUUCAAUACCAGCUGGCCAACAUGGUGACACCGCGUCUCUACUGAAAAUACAAAAAUUAGCCGGGCGUGGUGGCGGGCGCCUGUAGUCCCAGCUACUCCGGGGGCUG